AAACCAAAGCAAGACCACUAAAUAAAUUUUAAAACAUAUAAUGUGAAGGGGGGAAAUGGCAACAUACAAAUCCCAAAUGGCCCAAGCAAAAGCUCCAAGAGGACUUUCAUUCAUGAUUAGAAAAAAUAUAAGAACAUUUUUAACCCAAAAAAAUUUCCAGCUGAUAAAUUUACUUGACACUCUCAUUUUAAACAACCUGUGAGGGAUCUGUACCGCACUAAUGCAUCAUGUGAUUCUAAUAAUCAAUGUGGCAGUUAAUAUUGACAGCAGCAACUUAAAAAGAGAUUGAUGACCAGUGAACUAAAUAGCAAAGAGGGUCAUAACAAAGGGUCUGCUCUGACCAAAAUAGAUAGCACAUUUAGGCAAUCUGUGUUAAUGACAACUCUUUGCAAUCCCGUGGAGGAUCGAAGUUCGUCUUUGAAGAAGCAUCUGGCAAAAGCUAACAUGCUUACUAACAAGACAAACAGGACAACAGUAUGUUGUUAACCACAGGAAUAAAACUGCCAGUAGCUACAGGCAUUGGAGAAAAAUGACAGUCGUGUAAUACAUAUAGUAUAUACAACUAGAAAGGCAAAACAAACCCAACUAUAGAUCAAUCCAUGUAGGCUUAGGGUGGUUGAGUUCAUCACCAAAAGAAGACAUAAAUCCCAAGUUCAGAUAGAUCUUCACUCACAUCAACAGAAUAGAGAAAUAGAACUGAAAGAAGAACACUGUAUAGUAGAUAAGGAAAAUUUGUGUAUUUGUAGCAUAGCAAAAGAGGGCUCAGUUCCGUCUUUGAUCUUCAAGCCCAACACUUAGAUCUCUUGCUGCAUAACAUACCUAUCGCAAUGUAAACGAACUGCCCUGGUUAUCACUCGUCAGAAUGACCAGCCGAGGCGCAGAACAUCCAACAUUUUCGAUGAAUUGAACAGGCUGCAAGAGGUAAAGGUGGGCUCUAAUUUAGUACCCAGGCCACAACAAUCUUGAUUGCUCAAGACAUGCUUAUUUCAGCCAGAGUCGUCAUCAUCGCCCCUCAUUUUUAACUGAAAAGGAGGUUGUACCCCCGUCUUUGCCCACCCAGCAACAUGACCCAGAUAUCCAUACGUACAUACUACAUACUCUCUCCGUUCCUAAAUAUUUGUCUUUCUAGACAUUUCAAAUGACUACCACAUACGGAUGUAUGUAGACAUAUUUUAGAGUGUAGAUUCACUCAUUUUGCUCCGUGUGUAGUCACUUGUUGAAAUGUCUAGAAAGACAAAUAUUCAGGAACGGAGGGAGUACAUACAUACGUGCACACAUCCAUCCAUCAAACAGCCUCAGGAACAUACCUGGCCUCGACCAACCAAACCUGACGGCGCACCAGACAACACCGUAAAUGCAUCUUGGUCCUUGUUGUCGCGGACGAGGGCGGGGAGCCAGGAGAGGUCACGCCCAUCGCGCGUAC
RNAcentral lists this long non-coding RNA (1423 nucleotides) under Triticum aestivum (bread wheat). RNAcentral's name for it is "long non-coding RNA (TAES_LNC017586)". Lineage: Eukaryota; Viridiplantae; Streptophyta; Magnoliopsida; Poales; Poaceae. The record is from RNAcentral.